Molecule: transfer RNA, 84 nt
Filed under: Streptococcus agalactiae
Lineage: Bacteria; Bacillati; Bacillota; Bacilli; Lactobacillales; Streptococcaceae
Also listed under: 4 other names
Description: tRNA-Ser
Rfam family: tRNA
About the family: Transfer RNA (tRNA) molecules are approximately 80 nucleotides in length.
Source: RNAcentral
GGAAAGAUGGCAGAGGGGUUAACGCAGCUGGUUGCUAACCAGUAGCUGUUUGUGCAGUCGUAGGUUCGAAUCCUACUCUUUCCG